RNAcentral lists this ribosomal RNA (492 nucleotides) under uncultured bacterium. Its description in RNAcentral is "partial 16S ribosomal RNA". It matches the Rfam family "Bacterial small subunit ribosomal RNA", at positions 29 to 507 of the family's 1533-position model. The record is from RNAcentral.
AGUGAACGCUGGCGGUAGGCCUAACACAUGCAAGUCGAACGGCAGCACAGUAAGAGCUUGCUCUUACGGGUGGCGAGUGGCGGACGGGUGAGGAAUACAUCGGAAUCUACUUUUUCUUGGGUGAUAACGUAGGGAAACUUACGCUAAUACCUCAUACGACCUACGGGUUAAAGCAGUGGAUCUUCGGACCUUGCGCGAUUGAAUUAGCCGAUGUCGGAUUAGCUAGUUGGCUGGGUAAAGGCCCACCAAGGCGACGAUCCGUAGCUGGUCUGAGAGGAUGAUCAGCCACACUGGAACUGAGACACGGUCCAGACUCCUACGGGAGGCAGCAGUGGGGAAUAUUGGACAAUGGGCGCAAGCCUGACGCAGCAAUACCGCGUGGGUGAAGAAGGUCUUCGGGUUGUAAAGCCCUUUUGUUAGGAAAGAAAAGCAGUAGGUUAAUACCCCGAUGUUCUGACGGUACCCAAAGAAUAAGCACCGGCUAACUUCGUG